RNAcentral lists this ribosomal RNA (750 nucleotides) under uncultured bacterium. RNAcentral's name for it is "bacterial SSU rRNA". It matches the Rfam family "Bacterial small subunit ribosomal RNA", at positions 44 to 793 of the family's 1533-position model. The record is from RNAcentral.
GGGCAAUGUUUAAUGGCAGUCGAACGAAGCACAUUGAAGGAAUUCUUCGGAAGGAAAGUGAUGUGACUGAGUGGCGCCCUUAUGAGUAACGCGUGGGUAACCUGCCUUACACAGGGGGCCAUCAGUUAGAGAUGACUGCUAAUACCGCAUAAGACCACAGGGUCGCAUGAUCUUGUGGAAAAAACUGAGGUGGUGUAAGAUGGGCCCGCGUCUGAUUAGCUAGUUGGUGAGGUAAGAGCUCACCAAGGCGACGAUCAGUAGCCGACCUGAGAGGGUGAACGGCCACAUUGGGACUGAGACACGGCCCAAACUCCUACGGGAGGCAGCAGUGGGGAAUAUUGCACAAUGGGGGAAACCCUGAUGCAGCGACGCCGCGUGAGUGAAGAAGUAUUUCGGUAUGUAAAGCUCUAUCAGCAGGGAAGAAAGUGACGGUACCUGACUAAGAAGCCCCGGCUAACUACGUGCCAGCAGCCGCGGUAAUACGUAGGGGGCAAGCGUUAUCCGGAUUUACUGGGUGUAAAGGGAGCGUAGACGGAGGAGCAAGUCUGAAGUGAAAGCCCGCGGCUCAACUGCGGGACUGCUUUGGAAACUGUUCAUCUAGAGUGUCGGAGAGGUAAGUGGAAUUCCUAGUGUAACGGUGAAAUGCGUAGAUAUUAGGAGGAACACCAGUGGCGAAGGCGGCUUACUGGACGAUGACUGACGUUGAGGCUCGAAAGCGUGGGGAGCAAACAGGAUUAGAUACCCUGGUAG